RNAcentral lists this unclassified non-coding RNA (406 nucleotides) under uncultured Rhizophagus. Its description in RNAcentral is "sequence contains 28S rRNA gene". Lineage: Eukaryota; Fungi; Glomeromycota; Glomeromycetes; Glomerales; Glomeraceae. The record is from RNAcentral.
AGUUAAAUAGUACGUGAAAUUGUUGAAAGGGAAACGAUUGAAGCCAGUCGUACCUUCGGGUAAUCAGCCUUUUGGGUGUGAUUUUGUGGAGCGUGAAGAGUUAAACGCCUUCAUGCCUGCAUAUUCGUGCACUUUGGGUGUACUUGCCCGUAUGGUUGGUUAACAUCAAUUUUGGUGGUCAUAAAAUGACUGGAGGAAUGUAGCUUCGAUCUCGUAUUGAAGUGUUAUAGCCUUCGGUAGAUGUGAUGAUCGAGAUUGAGGAUUGCAACGGAUACCCUUCGGGGCUACCUGUCUGAUCUCUGAUCGUUGCUCUGGUGCCGAAAGCUUGCUUACGGUUAUCAAAGUCGAUGGUCAAUAGGUUAGAACGGGUUAAAUUCGUUAAGGAUGUUGACGUAAUGGCUUUAAA